RNAcentral lists this transfer RNA (76 nucleotides) under Hymenobacter sediminicola. RNAcentral describes it as "Hymenobacter sp. S2-20-2 tRNA-Ala". It matches the Rfam family "tRNA". Rfam says of the family: Transfer RNA (tRNA) molecules are approximately 80 nucleotides in length. Their secondary structure includes four short double-helical elements and three loops (D, anti-codon, and T loops). Lineage: Bacteria; Pseudomonadati; Bacteroidota; Cytophagia; Cytophagales; Hymenobacteraceae. The record is from RNAcentral.
GGGCUGUUAGCUCCUAACUGGCUAGAGCGCCGCUUUUGCAAAGCGGAGGUUGCAGGUUCGAAUCCUGCCCGGUCCA